Molecule: long non-coding RNA, 394 nt
Organism: Clupea harengus (Atlantic herring)
Lineage: Eukaryota; Metazoa; Chordata; Actinopteri; Clupeiformes; Clupeidae
Source: Ensembl
AACCUUCGCUGCUAAGUUGGCAGACAUAUCAGCGGUGUUAUUAAAAAUAUCCGUCUUUAUCUUACUUGUGAACAACCUCAACCGUUUGCGUAUUUGGGAAACGUCUGCUCAAAGAUGGGCAACAAAUCUGUCGUCUGUUAAGGCGAGACUCACGGGUUCUGAAUCUAUCUCGGAAUGUGCCUACUGUGCUCCCAGAGAGUUUGGUGACGUCCGCUUUGUAUCCCUGCACUGCAAAUGGCUGUAGGGUCAUUCAGUGAACAGGUACGGGAGAGCCGUGUGGAGCUUGUGGAAGAUUGGAGCAAACAUGUGAUGUCUCUUCUGGAGCUACUUUUCCAAGCUGAUGUUCUUACUGAAGAGGAUGUGAGCCUGGUAAGAGGUGGAGGGUGUUUAGGAG